GAAUAGGCGUAGCGGACCCGGGGGCGGUACCCGGCGCCUCCACCAUAAAAAGCCCGGCACCCUGAAUGCCCAGAAAUAUAGGGUUUUUGAGCAUUCUGGUUGCCGGAUUUUUGGGGGCGAAACAGCAUCGACGUGCGCAAUAAAGACUCGGUUUUUACCCCGGCAGAUACCGCCGCGUGUUUAGUCACGGGAUGGAUCAAAUUGAUAAGUGCCAACGAUAACGUUGCACCUGCUAAAUUCGCACUGGCUGCCUAAGCAAUUGCUGAAGCACUAGUUAAUAUUUAGCGCGGCCGCGGGGAGCCGGGCAACAGAAUCCCCGCACU
RNAcentral lists this transfer-messenger RNA (323 nucleotides) under Rickettsiales bacterium. Its description in RNAcentral is "partial transfer-messenger RNA". It matches the Rfam family "Alphaproteobacteria transfer-messenger RNA", at positions 75 to 355 of the family's 355-position model. From Rfam's summary of the family: Bacterial tmRNA, also known as 10Sa RNA or SsrA, is named for its dual tRNA and mRNA-like properties. Its role is to liberate the mRNA from a stalled ribosome. The record is from RNAcentral. Lineage: Bacteria; Pseudomonadati; Pseudomonadota; Alphaproteobacteria; Rickettsiales.